This 567-nucleotide ribosomal RNA is filed under the name uncultured fungus. RNAcentral describes it as "eukaryotic LSU rRNA". The stretch from base 185 to 338 matches the Rfam family "5.8S ribosomal RNA". The record is from RNAcentral. Lineage: Eukaryota; Fungi.
UCCGUAGGUGAACCUGCGGAGGGAUCAUUACCGAGUUUACAACUCCCAAACCCCUGUGAACAUACCUACCGUUGCUUCGGCGGGAUGCCCCAGUUUUGACUUAAAACUGGACCCAGGCGCCCGCCGGAGGACCCAAACUCUUGUUUUUAUAUGUAUCUUCUGAGUAAACAAGCAAAUAAAUUAAAACUUUCAACAACGGAUCUCUUGGUUCUGGCAUCGAUGAAGAACGCAGUGAAAUGCGAUAAGUAAUGUGAAUUGCAGAAUUCCGUGAAUCAUCGAAUCUUUGAACGCACAUUGCGCCCGCCAGUAUUCUGGCGGGCAUGCCUGUUCGAGCGUCAUUUCAACCCUCAAGCCCCCGGGCUUGGUGUUGGGGCUCGGCCCGUCCCUAGCGGAUGCGCAGUCCCCGAAAUCUAGUGGCGGUCUCGCUGUAGCCUCCUCUGCGUAGUAGCUAACACCUCGCAAUGGGAACGCAGCGCGGCCACGCCGUUAAACCCCCCACUUCUGAAGGUUGACCUCGGAUCAGGUAGGAAUACCCGCUGAACUUAAGCAUAUCAAUAAGCGGAGGAA